RNAcentral lists this long non-coding RNA (529 nucleotides) under Equus asinus (donkey). RNAcentral's name for it is "lncRNA (ENSEASG00005035207.1)". Lineage: Eukaryota; Metazoa; Chordata; Mammalia; Perissodactyla; Equidae. The record is from RNAcentral.
CGCUUCAUUACGACUGCUCUGCUAAGGGCGCCUGUGACUCCUAACUGUUCUAAUUGACCCCCUAGUCCAUCCCUUCCCAGACCUGUCACCCAUGGGCUUGGGAGUUUAUCUCUGUAGCCUCCGGAACAUUCCUUGUGCCUCUCUGCUCCUUCCCGUGUCUCUCCUCUCAGCCUGUCCCUUAAAUAUGGCUGAUCCCCAGCCCCCACCACCAGGGCCAGGGCCUGGUGGGCCAGGAGGGACUCAGGCAGCAACACGGAAGGAGUCCCUGACUCUCGAGGCUGCAAGAUGCAGGGCCAACGCUGAGAGGAAGCCGCCUGCAGCCCUUCCGAAUGCUCCCUGGAGGUGACAACGGCUGGUGCUGGCAACACAGGUUUGGCGACCUGCAGAGACGGCCUCUCCAACACCUUGCACUUCAUUCAGGGGCCUCAGCUGAAACUCAGACAGAAAAGAACAAUUUUAAACAUCCCAUUGCACAGAUACAGAAAUAGCAUAAAAUAAAAUGCAAAAUGCAUAUGAUUUCCAAGACAAA